GUGNAUUGAGNACGCCUUNGGGUNGNANUAUCUUUUAGUGGAGAAGAUAAUGACGGUAUCCCACAGAAAAAGUCCCGGCUAACUUUGUGCCAAGCAGCCGCGGUAAUACGAAGGGGGCAAGCGUUACUUCGGAAUUAUUGGGCAUAAAGCGUGCGUAGGCGGUUUUAUAAGUUGAAAGUGAAAGCCUUUGGCUCAACCAAAGAAUUGCUUACAAAACUGUAAAACUAGAGUAUUAGAGAGGAUAGAAGAAUUCCUGAUGUAGGGGUGAAAUCCGUAGAUAUCAGGAGGAAUAUCGAAGGCGAAAGCAUCUGUCUGGCUAAAUACUGACGCUGUUGCACGAAAGCGUGGGGAGCAAACAGGAUUAGAUACCCUGGUAGUCCACGCAGUAAACGAUGAGUGCUAGAUGUUAGAACUAUGUUUUAGCGUCGAAGCUAACGCAUUAAGCACUCC
Molecule: ribosomal RNA, 450 nt
Filed under: uncultured Alphaproteobacteria bacterium
Lineage: Bacteria; Pseudomonadati; Pseudomonadota; Alphaproteobacteria
Description: bacterial SSU rRNA
Rfam family: Bacterial small subunit ribosomal RNA
Source: RNAcentral